Exaiptasia diaphana is the source of this 374-nucleotide long non-coding RNA. RefSeq lists it as uncharacterized. The transcript is spliced from 3 exons. The record is from RefSeq and is a predicted model, not a curated record. NCBI's taxonomy places the organism in Eukaryota, Metazoa, Cnidaria, Anthozoa, Actiniaria, Aiptasiidae.
CCAAUUGAUUGGAGUUGUCAAAGAUGUCUAWGCAUUACUAAUUGAGGUUCCCCUAUGUAUCAAGUGAUGAGUAAACAGUGAAGCGCCAUACUUGCUGCUGAACUUGAUCGAGUGCGGGAUAUUUUGUUUACAAUCCAAGAUUCUUUAACGGACAAGAUGAUGUCAAAGAAGCUUCUUCUAUUAUUUGUGAUUGUGAUGCUGGCUGUGUCCUUGAAUGAGUCAGCACCAAGAGCUAGUGACUCAAAUCUCCAUCGACUUUUGAUGAGGGUCUUGAAGGCCAAGAGGAUGUAUGAGAAUGAUCCCGAACCGUGUUCUUCCUCAGAAUGUUACGGCGACAUUAUAUGCUGCGACGGAUGGCAUUGCGGUAGUAGGUA